AUUGAACGCUAGCGGGAUGCUUUACACAUGCAAGUCGAACGAGUGGCGGACGGGUGAGUAAUAUCUCGGAACGUGCCCAGUAGCGGGGGAUAACUACUCGAAAGAGUGUCUAAUACCGCAUACUCUUGGAGCGGCCUAUAUCGGAUAAGCUAGUUGGUGGGGUAAAGGCUCACCAAGGCAACGAUCCGUCGCUGGUUUGAGAGGAAGACCAGCCACACUGGGACUGAGACACGGCCCAGACUCCUACGGGAGGCAGCAGUGGGGAAUGUUGGACAAUGGGGGAAACCCUGAUGCAGCCAUGCCGCGUGUAUGAGAAGGCCUUCGGGUUGUAAAGUACUUUUGGCAGAGAAGCGGUAUCUGCAGAAGAAGCACCGGCUAACUACGUGCCAGCCGCCGCGGUAAUAC
RNAcentral lists this ribosomal RNA (405 nucleotides) under uncultured bacterium. RNAcentral describes it as "partial 16S ribosomal RNA". It matches the Rfam family "Bacterial small subunit ribosomal RNA", at positions 30 to 526 of the family's 1533-position model. The record is from RNAcentral.